RNAcentral lists this ribosomal RNA (466 nucleotides) under uncultured bacterium. Its description in RNAcentral is "partial 16S ribosomal RNA". It matches the Rfam family "Bacterial small subunit ribosomal RNA", at positions 28 to 507 of the family's 1533-position model. The record is from RNAcentral.
GAUGAACGCUGGCGGCGUGCUUAACACAUGCAAGUCGAACGGAAAGGCUCCUGCUUGCAGGGGUACUCGAGUGGCGAACGGGUGAGUAACACGUGGGUGAUCUGCCCUGCACUUCGGGAUAAGCCUGGGAAACUGGGUCUAAUACCGGAUAGGACGAUGGUUUGGAUGCCAUUGUGGAAAGUUUUUUCGGUGUGGGAUGAGCUCGCGGCCUAUCAGCUUGUUGGUGGGGUAAUGGCCUACCAAGGCGUCGACGGGUAGCCGGCCUGAGAGGGUGUACGGCCACAUUGGGACUGAGAUACGGCCCAGACUCCUACGGGAGGCAGCAGUGGGGAAUAUUACACAAUGGGCGCAAGCCUGAUGCAGCGACGCCGCGUGGGGGAUGACGGCCUUCGGGUUGUAAACUACUUUCGCUAGGGCCGAAGCGGAAGUGACGGUACCUGGAGAAGAAGCACCGGCUAACUACGUG